This 460-nucleotide ribosomal RNA is filed under the name uncultured bacterium. Its description in RNAcentral is "partial 16S ribosomal RNA". It matches the Rfam family "Bacterial small subunit ribosomal RNA", at positions 339 to 795 of the family's 1533-position model. The record is from RNAcentral.
CUACGGGUGGCUGCAGUAAGGAAUAUUGCGCAAUGGAGGCAACUCUGACGCAGCCAUGCCGCGUGCAGGACUGAAGGCCUUAUGGGUCGUAAACUGCUUUUAUUUAGGAAUAAACUCUUGUACGUGUACGAGACUGAAGGUACUAAAUGAAUAAGCACCGGCUAACUCCGUGCCAGCAGCCGCGGUAAUACGGAGGGUGCAAGCGUUAUCCGGAUUUAUUGGGUUUAAAGGGUGCGCAGGCGGACUAUUAAGUCAGAGGUGAAAUCCCGGAGCUCAACUUCGGAACUGCCUUUGAUACUGGUAGUCUUGAAUACGGUUGAAGUAGGCGGAAUGUAGCAUGUAGCGGUGAAAUGCAUAGAGAUGCUACAGAACACCGAUCGCGAAGGCAGCUUACUAAGCCGAUAUUGACGCUCAGGCACGAAAGCGUGGGGAGCGAGCAGGAUUAGAUACCCCUGUAGUC